CCUACGGGGGGCAGCAGUGAGGAAUAUUGGUCAAUGGCCGGAAGGCUGAACCAGCCAUGCCGCGUGAAGGUCAGUGCCCUAUGGGCGUUAAACUUCUUUUGUGCGGGAGCAAUAUUGGUCACGUGUGGCCAGACGAGAGUACCGUACGAAUAAGCAUCGGCUAACUCCGUGCCAGCAGCCGCGGUAAUACGGGGGAUGCAAGCGUUAUCCGGAUUUAUUGGGUUUAAAGGGUGCGUAGGCUGGGAGGUAAGUCAGCGGUGAAAUGCCCCCGCUCAACGGGGUGAAGUGCCAUUGAUACUGCCUGGCUGGAAUGCGGAUGCCGUGGGAGGAAUGUGUGGUGUAGCGGUGAAAUGCAUAGAUAUCACACAGAACACCGAUUGCGAAGGCAUCUCACGAAUCCGCGAUUGACGCUGAUGCACGAAAGCGUGGGUAUCAAACAGGAUUAGAUACCCCUGUAGUC
RNAcentral lists this ribosomal RNA (460 nucleotides) under uncultured bacterium. Its description in RNAcentral is "partial 16S ribosomal RNA". It matches the Rfam family "Bacterial small subunit ribosomal RNA", at positions 338 to 795 of the family's 1533-position model. The record is from RNAcentral.